UACAGAGGGUGCAAGCGUUAAUCGGAAUGACUGGGCGUAAAGGGUGUGUAGGCGGUUGAUUAAGUUAGAUGUGAAAUCCCCGGGCUUAACCUGGGAACUGCAUUUAAUACUGGUUGACUAGAGUAUGGGAGAGGUAAGUGGAAUUUCCGGUGUAGCGGUUAAAUGCGUAGAUAUCGGAAGGAACACCAGUGGCGAAGGCGGCUUACUGGCCUAAUACUGACACUGAACCACGAAAGCGUGGGGAGCAAACAGG
RNAcentral lists this ribosomal RNA (253 nucleotides) under uncultured bacterium. Its description in RNAcentral is "partial 16S ribosomal RNA". It matches the Rfam family "Bacterial small subunit ribosomal RNA", at positions 524 to 776 of the family's 1533-position model. The record is from RNAcentral.